GACAGAGGGUGCAAACGUUGCUCGGAAUCACUGGGCGUAAAGGGCGUGUAGGCGGGACGGUAAGUCGGGCGUGAAAUCCCUAGGCUCAACCUAGGAACUGCACUCGAAACUACCAUUCUUGAGUGUCGGAGAGGAAAGCGGAAUUCCUGGUGUAGAGGUGAAAUUCGUAGAUAUCAGGAGGAACACCAGUGGCGAAGGCGGCUUUCUGGACGAUAACUGACGCUGAGACGCGAAAAGCGUGGGGAGCAAACAGG
This 254-nucleotide ribosomal RNA is filed under the name uncultured bacterium. RNAcentral's name for it is "partial 16S ribosomal RNA". It matches the Rfam family "Bacterial small subunit ribosomal RNA", at positions 524 to 776 of the family's 1533-position model. The record is from RNAcentral.